This 482-nucleotide ribosomal RNA is filed under the name uncultured bacterium. Its description in RNAcentral is "partial 16S ribosomal RNA". It matches the Rfam family "Bacterial small subunit ribosomal RNA", at positions 30 to 507 of the family's 1533-position model. The record is from RNAcentral.
AUUGAACGCUGGCGGCAUGCCUUACACAUGCAAGUCGAACGGUAACGGGCCUUCGGGUGCCGACGAGUGGCGAACGGGUGAGUAAUACAUCGGAACGUGCCCGAUCGUGGGGGAUAACGAGGCGAAAGCUUUGCUAAUACCGCAUACGAUCUACGGAUGAAAGCAGGGGACCGCAAGGCCUUGCGCGGACGGAGCGGCCGAUGGCAGAUUGGGUAGUUGGUGGGAUAAAAGCUUACCAAGCCGACGAUCUGUAGCUGGUCUGAGAGGAUGAUCAGCCACACUGGGACUGAGACACGGCCCAGACUCCUACGGGAGGCAGCAGUGGGGAAUUUUGGACAAUGGGCGCAAGCCUUAUCCAGCCAUGCCGCGUGCAGGAUGAAGGCCUUCGGGUUGUAAACUGCUUUUGUACGGAACGAAAAGCCUUCUUUUAAUACAGGAGGGUCAUGACGGUACCGUAAGAAUAAGCACCGGCUAACUACGUG